Molecule: long non-coding RNA, 353 nt
Organism: Cynara cardunculus var. scolymus (artichoke)
Lineage: Eukaryota; Viridiplantae; Streptophyta; Magnoliopsida; Asterales; Asteraceae
Exons: 2
Source: RefSeq, a predicted model, not a curated record
CUAUUGAUACUUGUUUAAAGCACGAUUGGUUGCGCACGCCGAGGCCAGUAACCGGUCAUAUGUGCCUAGGACAUGGUGAUGCAGGUCAUUCGUUGGACCCAACGAGAAUGAUCCUAUAUCGAUGAAAAGUUGCUAGUGAAUUGACGGCCAGCCCGUUGAUCCUCGUCCGAAGCAUGAUUGGUUACACAGGCCCGUGCCAGUGACCGGUCAUAUGUGCCUAGGACGUGGUGAUGUGGGUGAUGCAUUGAGGAAAGGUUUCUUCUCUGUUUUUGCUAGCGGGCAGCCCGUUGAACCUCAACCGAAGCACGAUUGGUUGCACAGGCCUGUGCCAGUGACCGAUGCUGAGGACAUGG